This 109-nucleotide microRNA precursor is filed under the name Chlorocebus sabaeus (green monkey). Its description in RNAcentral is "miRNA (ENSCSAG00000026997.1)". The record is from RNAcentral. Lineage: Eukaryota; Metazoa; Chordata; Mammalia; Primates; Cercopithecidae.
GCGGGUCAGCAGCUGCCCCAGCUGCCUCAGUCAUCGCAGCUCCAGCAGCAGCAGCAGCAGCAGCAGCAGCAGCAGCAACAGCAGCAACAGCAACAGCAGCCUCAGCCGC